Molecule: long non-coding RNA, 1926 nt
Organism: Tachysurus vachellii
Lineage: Eukaryota; Metazoa; Chordata; Actinopteri; Siluriformes; Bagridae
Exons: 7
Source: RefSeq, a predicted model, not a curated record
UUCAAUUUCUGAGGACGCCUUCUUAUCAGGAUUCGAUUGAGGCAGAGAUCUCCUCCUGUGUCCCCCACUACAACUUCCUGGAUGUUUUUUUUGAGCUGAUUCUGUUCCGCCAUUUCAGAAGUGGCUCAACGCUUGAGACAUUUAAUGGAGGAUUCUUGGAGCGCCUGCUCGAGCUCGUCAGCAUGUGGGAUGUGGACGUGUGGGAGCCUGCAGCAGAGCUGUACUUCACAGUGCUUAUCGAUCAUCUAACACAGCUUGCUGAAGUACUGUUCUCUCAGCCUCUGGAGCUCUACAGCGACCCAGCAGCCUUAGCCACCACGGUUCAGCAUCUUCUCAAGAAGCACGUCCGACAGAUGAUGGACAUUUUGGAGAAGCUCUGAGCAAUGUCUUUUUUUAUCGCUUUAUUUUUUCUUCUGAUUUAUUUUAUGUUCGUUCUUUUCCCUCACUUCUUUUCCCUACAUUGCUCAAGCUCUCCAUAGGUAAGUAUGAAUUCAUUUUAUUUCUAUUUUUGAUUAAGAUUUUAAAAAUCACUUUCCUUUCCUAUAGGUGUGUUCAGUCAACCCCAGGACUGAAGACGGGCUUAACCCUAGGAUCCCUCAUCCCUUAAUAAUCAUCCCAUAUUAAUCUAUCCCUCUUUUCCUAUCCCACUCCCCUAUUCCUAUAGAUAAUAAAUGUAUUAAUAUAAUGUUUUGUAAAUAAACUUUACAUAUUUGUAAAUAUUAGUUAAAUAUUCUUUAAUAAAUGUUUACAUUUGUUCCUAUUACAGAGUAAAUCUAAUUAUUUUAUUCAUCACUAUACCUAUAUCAUUUUCCUUUCAAAAGCACAACACACCAUUUUAAAAGAAAUUUCAGAACCUUUAAAUGGUUUGAUAAAAUGUGUGAAAUUCAGAUAUUUAUAUCCUUGGAAUAUUUGUGUGACGGCCCCAAGUUGUGUAACAAUCUUUAACAUUUGGGGAAUUGCAUAAUUGUACAUUAUUUCUCAAUUACAGAUAUUGAAGAUAUGUAUAAAAUACACAACUUUGUAUUUCUUAUGCAUAUAUUAGCCUAUAGUUGACACGGGGUAUUAACAAUAAGCUGUUUUUUUAUCAAGUUGGUUGUUAUACAAAGCCAGAACUCAAGUUUAACAGCAGUUCUAACAAGAAGCUUUUACAAUACAGUAUACAGUGACUAGGGUGUUGUAUAAAUGAAAAAAAUUAGAUAAUCGUAGUAAAGUAAAUAGGAUCGUUGAGACAGUCCCUCAAAUGCUGCUCACAGAAACUCACCAAGAACCUUCAGCCGUCCUUCUGGUAACCAAAGCUUUUGUUUAUUUACUAAACCUGACCACUGGAUUUUACAAGGUUCUUUUUACUGAACAGAAUAUCAGUAUGAACCUGCUAUGAUCAGAAGCACUUAUGAUCUUCCUGCUCUAAUUUUCACAGAUGCUGGUGAGCUGAUCAGCGCUUGCCGAAACAUUCAGUUCCUCUCUGCAGACACCUCCAUCUCCCAGUCUGAGUCAGUGAACAUCAGGACAUACCUCUUGUGGAUGAUAAGGGGCCCAGAGUGUCGUCUUUGCUGGUUUACAACCACAAAGACACAAUCCAUCAAUCACAUGGGAUUCCCUUAUCAUACCACCACAGAGGACUGUUUCACUGGCAUACAGAUUUAGUUCAUAGUGGAGCUGCCCCCGCUGUCACCCCAACUGCCUGAUACCCCAGCUGCGUGACACCCCAAAUUCCUGACACCCCAACUGCCUGACACCCCAACUUCCUGACACCCCAUCUUCCUUUAGAUACACCUCUACUGUGUAAUUUGAGUAAUACUUUAUUAUCUGUGUAAUAAGGAGGAGUCUUCAUUGUACAUUGCAGUACAAACCCUGAAUAAAUACAUCCAGGGAAGAAGAAAUAUAAAUAUUUGUAAUAUUUAGGGGAUGUAAGAAGAAUGUAAGAAU